RNAcentral lists this ribosomal RNA (307 nucleotides) under Astrosyne radiata. Its description in RNAcentral is "partial Bacterial large subunit ribosomal RNA". It matches the Rfam family "Bacterial large subunit ribosomal RNA", at positions 85 to 439 of the family's 2925-position model. Lineage: Eukaryota; Bacillariophyta; Fragilariophyceae; Cyclophorales; Cyclophoraceae. The record is from RNAcentral.
GCGGCAAACAGCCAUUGAUCCGGGGAUGUCCGAAUGGGGAAACCCACCCAGCAUAAGCUGGGUAUCCUCACCUGAAUACAUAGGGUGCAGGAGGCGAACUCAGGGAACUGAAACAUCUAAGUACCUGAAGGAAAAGAAAUCAACCGAGAUUCCCCCAGUAGCGGCGAGCGACCGGGGAGGAGCCUGCAAGUGAUAGCACGAAUGUUAGCGGAACACUCUGGAAAGUGUGGCGAUAGAGGGUGAUAGCCCCGUACGCGAAAACAAACUUUGAAAUCUCGAGUAGGGCGGGACACGUGAAAUCCUGUCU